RNAcentral lists this ribosomal RNA (459 nucleotides) under uncultured bacterium. RNAcentral's name for it is "partial 16S ribosomal RNA". It matches the Rfam family "Bacterial small subunit ribosomal RNA", at positions 338 to 795 of the family's 1533-position model. The record is from RNAcentral.
CCUACGGGAGGCUGCAGUGAGGAAUAUUGGUCAAUGGUCGUGAGACUGAACCAGCCAAGUAGCGUGCAGGAAGACGGCCCUAUGGAUUGUAAACUUCUUUUGUCCGGGGGUAAAAGGCGCCACGCGUGGCGUUUCGUGAGUACCCGAAGAAUAAGCAUCGGCUAAUUCCGUGCCAGCAGCCGCGGUAAUACGGAGGAUGCGAGCGUUAUCCGGAUUUAUUGGGUUUAAAGGGUGCGUAGGCGGAAGAUUAAGUCAGCGGUAAAAUGGCGUGGCUCAACCGCGCCACGGAGUCGAAACUGGGUGCCUUGAGUGCACGACAGGCAGGCGGAAGUCGUGGUGUAGCGGUGAAAUGCAUAGAUAUCACGAAGAACCCCGAUUGCGAAGGCAGCCUGCGGGGGUGCGACUGACGCUGAGGCUCGAAGGUGCGGGUAUCGAACAGGAUUAGAUACCCUUGUAGUC